This 454-nucleotide ribosomal RNA is filed under the name uncultured bacterium. RNAcentral describes it as "partial 16S ribosomal RNA". It matches the Rfam family "Bacterial small subunit ribosomal RNA", at positions 338 to 795 of the family's 1533-position model. The record is from RNAcentral.
CCUACGGGUGGCUGUAGUGAGGAAUAUUGGUCAAUGGACGCAAGUCUGAACCAGCCAUGCCGCGUGCAGGAAGACGGCUCUAUGAGUUGUAAACUGCUUUUGUACGAGGGUAAACGCAGAUACGUGUAUCUGUCUGAAAGUAUCGUACGAAUAAGUAUCGGCUAACUCCGUGCCAGCAGCCGCGGUAAUACGGAGGAGUCAAGCGUUAUCCGGAUUUAUUGGGUUUAAAGGGUGCGUAGGCGGUCGGAUAAGUUAGAGGUGAAAUCCCGAGGCUCAACUUCGGAAUUGCCUCUGAUAUUGUUCGGCUAGAGUGAAGUAUGAGGAAUGCGUGGUGUAGCGGUGAAAUGCAUAGAUAUCGCGCAGAACUCCGAUUGCGAAGGCAGCAUGCCGGCUCCAGAUUGACGCUGAGGCACGAAAGCGUGGGUAUCGAACAGGAUUAGAUACCCUGGUAGUC